GCUGAGUGUGGUGGUGCAUGCCUGUAGUCCCAGCUACUUGGGAGGCUGAGGUGGGAGGAUCGCUUGAGCCCAGGAGGUUGAGGCUGCAGUGAGCCAUGAUUGUGCCACUGCACUCCAGCUUGGGCAACAAAGUGAGAUCCUGGCUUUA
Molecule: non-coding RNA, 148 nt
Filed under: Homo sapiens (human)
Lineage: Eukaryota; Metazoa; Chordata; Mammalia; Primates; Hominidae
Source: Rfam by way of RNAcentral